This 305-nucleotide ribosomal RNA is filed under the name uncultured bacterium. RNAcentral describes it as "bacterial SSU rRNA". It matches the Rfam family "Bacterial small subunit ribosomal RNA", at positions 335 to 639 of the family's 1533-position model. The record is from RNAcentral.
UUCCCUACGGGACGCAGCAGUGAGGAAUAUUGGUCAAUGGGCGAGAGCCUGAACCAGCCAAGUCGCGUGAGGGAGUACUGCCCUAUGGGUUGUAAACCUCUUUUGUCGGGGAGCAAAAGCCGGACGUGUCCGGCUGUGAGAGUACCCGAAGAAAAAGCAUCGGCUAACUCCGUGCCAGCAGCCGCGGUAAUACGGAGGAUGCGAGCGUUAUCCGGAUUUAUUGGGUUUAAAGGGUGCGUAGGCGGACAGUCAAGUCAGCGGUAAAAAUGCGGUGCUCGACGCCGUACAGCCGUUGAAACUGGCAG